Molecule: transfer RNA, 82 nt
Filed under: bacterium
Lineage: Bacteria
Also listed under: 2 other names
Description: tRNA-Leu
Rfam family: tRNA
About the family: Transfer RNA (tRNA) molecules are approximately 80 nucleotides in length. Their secondary structure includes four short double-helical elements and three loops (D, anti-codon, and T loops).
Source: RNAcentral
GCGGAUGUGGCGAAAUUGGUAGACGCGCCAGACUUAGGAUCUGGUGGGGCGACCCGUGGGAGUUCGAGUCUCUUCAUCCGCA